RNAcentral lists this unclassified non-coding RNA (543 nucleotides) under Hevea brasiliensis (rubber tree). Lineage: Eukaryota; Viridiplantae; Streptophyta; Magnoliopsida; Malpighiales; Euphorbiaceae. The record is from RNAcentral.
AUCGGAGGACCCGACUUAUCCAACUUACAGCACCGUUCACCCUAGGAACAUCUAUCGCUGGAGCUCUUCAUUUCUGUAGUAGCCAAACCGAUGGUCAAUGGCAAAUAGAUCAUACCAAAACACACCAGGAAGAAAACUGUCGCUAAGAAAGCCCCUUUAGGACUAUAACAACACACAUAGGUCAAAGACAACAAGAAUCGUUCAAGCUCAGAUCAGCGGCUUGCGAAGGAGACAAAGCAGAAAAAUAGGUAGAGCCCAUUGUGGCGUCUCAGUAUCGUGUAGUCAGAAAGCGGCGACACCCAUUCAGCUGGCUCUUUCAACCAUUGGGGAACUUCCUCCUUUCCUUUCGCAACAAAGAGUAACCACUGUCAAUUCUGCAUGCAGCUCGAACAACCACCAUCGGUAUACCCUAAGCACUCAGAAAAUAUAUGCAACAGGAAAGUUCAAGGUUGCUCAGGUCAAAACUGUGACCCCUUCCAUUGAGAGCACUGGAUAUGCAAAAGAGAAUAAAAACAUAUACAUAAACCAUCCUAAAAGUGGGAG